RNAcentral lists this ribosomal RNA (2964 nucleotides) under Triticum aestivum (bread wheat). RNAcentral's name for it is "partial small subunit ribosomal RNA". Lineage: Eukaryota; Viridiplantae; Streptophyta; Magnoliopsida; Poales; Poaceae. The record is from RNAcentral.
GGCCGCGGUCGGUCGGUGUAUUUGUUUGGGUGUGUGGGUGUGUGGGUGUGUGUGUGUGUGUGGUCUGCCCCCCUUUGACUUUCGUUCGCCUCCGGCGAAGAGGCUAACUAAAGCAAGGUAAGGUAGUAGUGUGUCGGUUUUCUGGCGCUGCGCGGGGAGAGGAGCGAGGGCAGGGGGAGCGCUAAACUAAGCAGAGGGGUGGAGGGCAAGGCGACGGGGUACGGCGGGCGGGCGGGGGACGCGCGGCUGAGGAGAACUGGGGCAGGGGCCGCUGCUGCUGCGGCGGCGGCGGCGGCGGCGGCGGUACCGGCAGCUAAGGCUGUCUCCCCUCCCCCUAAACCUCUAACCCAACCGCAGCGGCCACAGCCUCCCUCCCCAAAGCGGGCAGCGGGGUCCGGCGGCCCGCGAGCUCAGGACGGAGAGGCCCUUCGCGGAGCUGGUCAGCGGCAGCGGGAGCGCCCGCCAGUCCGCGGGGCGCGAUCAGUACAGGUCGAGGCCCUUCGCGGAGCUGGUCAGCGGGCGCCGCAGCGGCAGCGGGAGCGCGGGCCACGACCAGUACAGGGUGAGGUCGUUUGCGGACCUGGUCGGCGGGCCGGCGGGGCACGACCGGUACAGGGCGAGGUCGUUGGCGGAGCUGGUGAGCGGCCGCAGCAGGAGCAGCGGCUGCGGCCGCUUCCCGGGCCGCGAGCAGUACAGGCCGAGGUCGUUCGCCGACCUUGUCAGCGAGCGCAGGGGCAGGGGCAGCGGGUUCCGGCCCCGGCGCCGCGGCGGGCACGACCACGAGAGGUUGAGGCCGUUCGCCUACCUGGUCCGCCCGGCCUUCUUCAUGCAGUUCGUCCAGUGCCCGGCCGUGUUGCUGUGCCUCGAGGUGGAGCGGCGCGUCGCGCCCCUGGAACUGCGGCACGCGGUCUAGUAGCGGCUUUAGCUGCGCGUCUACUGGCCGUGGCCCCUCCUCAAGCUGUCGCUCCACCGCCUCUAGGCGCGGCGGCACGAGUUGCUCGGGUUGCUCCAGCCCCUCUGGCGCGACGAGUAGCGGCGACUCUUUCCCAAGUAGCUGCAGCAGCAGCUCGACGAGUUCGUGAGACUGUUCCUCUCGGAACGCUCCUUCUUGUUUAGUCCUAAGCUACGAGACGUGCAGCGACGUUUCCUUCCGGUGGCUCUAUAACACUUCCAUGAGGACCUGGUACUAGGUAGGGAACCCUUCUGCAAACCGGUUAGUUUACACUGAGGAGACUAUUGACGCCGCUAAUCUCCGGUGGAGCUCCAUCACUUGGAAGACGACCUCGCUCAAAGACCCAACCAACUUGAUAGCUUCCGCUUGCCUUUCUUACGUAACGUAAAGCGACGGGCAGUCCCCGUACAACUUUAUCAAUUCAGAAACGAUCAGUCGCUUCGAGUCGAACGAGCCUUCUGACUAUUCUUUCCUGUCUGGCGAAACGUAUACCGCCAAUUUCCUUGUUCGCGACGCCAACAAUCUCGUGAACACUUACGACUAGGCCGGUAUCAAUACAAUGGACUGUUUUUACCGUUGAAUCGAAACGUACAACGGUGGUCCUUCUUUUCUAGUCUCUAACACUUACUCGAAGACGAAGAAGGCCUGUACUUGCACUUACGCGACUGAUCCCUAGCGUUCUGACGUAAGCUGUAUCGUCUCCCAGAAGGCGAUAGUCUCCUCAGACGCCUAUAUUUCCUAACAAAUAGGGCGCGACCACGUCACUCUCGUUUACUAGACUUAGUCGGAGCCCUACUCGACUCUUUUUGUCACUGACUCUAGUUCUUCCUGCAUGUGUGAGUUGAACUCGUUCGGUCUUUUUGGUUGUUUUUACACGUACCGUAUCGUUUCCUCGACUCCUUCGAGGUGUCCCUUCCGUAGUUAUUACGUUGUUUGAGACAGUGUCAACACCGACACGAGAAACGGUGUCAACGUAAACGACGCUAUAAGUGCCACGGUCCGCCGUUACUGCUGGUACCACAUCGUUAUCAACACGUACGCCAUAGGAAGUUCCACAAGAAGUAGAAGUUACGGUAGCGGAACAAGUGUAGUAAUCGUCAUCACCACCACGUCUAUUGUGAACAAUCCCCGCUCUGCUUUCGUCUCUCCGCUCAACACCUCCACUAGUUGUUCAACUACACCGACCGAAGACAUACGUGGUGCCACCGUAAGUAUAGGAGGAGAAUGUAUCACCACCCAGCCGUGAAGUUCACCCGCCGCGACGACCACUGGGAGUAGCCGCCCCACUAGUACCGGCCACACGAACCGUGCUACUGUAUGAUACACCACUUCAGGUUCGCGUGCGCCAGCUAAUCCUUCUUCCACUUCAGUUGUUCCGCCUCACCGAGUUUGAGUACCUUGGUGUUGAGCCUCAGUCUAAGGCUCUAUCUGGCCUAUAUGCGGUAUACUCCCACUAGAGGCCGGAUACUUCGGAGCCAGAAAAACCGCCGCGGUGUGCUGUGCCUACAUGUUUCUUUCCCAACCGUGAUUCAUAUUUGUCGAAACUGGGAGGUCCACGACACCCAUACCCCAAAAUGGCAUAUGAGGGAGGCAAGGAUUUAUAUUCAGAAACAUCCCUAAAAUGAUCUACCUGAUGUAUGCCUCGUUUUAAUUACUUACAUGUGAAUUUUACGUAGAUAUAUGUAGGCAUACACCAAGUAUCACUUUAAAGAUGUUUCUGAACAUAAAUCCUUGCCUCCCUCAUGUAAGGUUAUUCGACCACAAGGACCUACCCGUCCUCGGUCCUCCGCUGCCAGCACAACAUAUGUAGAAGAUGUCUAUCUAACAGUAGUAGUCUUAUACGUACGUCGGACACGACACGAGGGAUACGUACCGACCGACCGACCGGAAGUAUUUUAAAGAGAGUCGGAAAAAGACAUGGAAAACAAUUAUACGACACGAUCGUCUUACCAUACACAUGAAUCGUGAGACAUGGAACAUAAAGUAGACUAUAGACUCUUCCAAGAUCUUCG